GACGAACGCUGGCGGCGUGCUUAACACAUGCAAGUCGAGCGGAAAGGUCCUUCGCUGUACUCUAUCGCCGAACGGGUGAGUAACACGUUAGUAACCUGCCCCCGACUUUGGGAUACCCCUCUGACUCGGGGGCUACUACCGUAUACGACACUGCUUCGCAUGGGGUCUUUGUUGUACGUUUUUCGGCUUGUGUUGGGCUCGCUGUCUAUCAGCUCGCUCGUUAAGUGCUGGCAUACCAAGGCGCCGCGGGGUAGCCGGCCUGUGAGUGCGAACGGCGACAAGGGGACUGAGACACGGACCAGAAUCGUACGGGAGGCAGCAGUGGGAAAUAUUGCACAAUAGGCGGAAGCCUGAUGCAGCGACGCCGCGUGAGGGAUGACGGCCUUCGGGUGGUAAACAAAUUUCAGCAGGGACGAAGCGUAAGUGACGGUACCUGAAGAAGAAGCGACGGCCAACUACGUG
Molecule: ribosomal RNA, 462 nt
Filed under: uncultured bacterium
Lineage: Bacteria
Description: partial 16S ribosomal RNA
Rfam family: Bacterial small subunit ribosomal RNA
Source: RNAcentral